GACGAACGCUGGCGGCGUGCUUAACACAUGCAAGUCGAACGGAAAGGCCCUGCUUUUGUGGGGUUCUCGAGUGGCGAACGGGUGAGUAACACGUGAGUAACCUGCCCUUGACUUUGGGAUAACUUCAGGAAACUGGGGCUAAUACCGGAUAGGAGCUCCUGCUGCAUGGUGGGGGUUGGAAAGUUUCGGCGGUUGGGGCUGGACUCGCGGCUUAUCAGCUUGUUGGUGGGGUAGUGGCUUACCAAGGCUUUGACGGGUAGCCGGCCUGGGAGGGUGACCGGCCACAUUGGGACUGAGAUACGGCCCAGACUCCUACGGGAGGCAGCAGUGGGGAAUAUUGCACAAUGGGCGGAAGCCUGAUGCAGCAACGCCGCGUGCGGGAUGACGGCCUUCGGGUUGUAAACCGCUUUCGCCUGUGACGAAGCGUGAGUGACGGUAAUGGGUAAAGAAGCACCGGCUAACUACGUG
This 468-nucleotide ribosomal RNA is filed under the name uncultured bacterium. Its description in RNAcentral is "partial 16S ribosomal RNA". It matches the Rfam family "Bacterial small subunit ribosomal RNA", at positions 28 to 507 of the family's 1533-position model. The record is from RNAcentral.